This 414-nucleotide long non-coding RNA is filed under the name Vigna radiata. Its description in RNAcentral is "long non-coding RNA (VRAD_LNC003399)". The record is from RNAcentral. Lineage: Eukaryota; Viridiplantae; Streptophyta; Magnoliopsida; Fabales; Fabaceae.
UGGCAGUAUUUGUGGGAAUUGGUUAGACAGGAGAAAACAUACCUAAUAAACUUUAUUCUUUUUACAUUACACAUUGCUUGUAGGGUGCUAUAAAGGCAUUGUUUUUGUUUGAGAAGGGGGUGACAAAUGAAAAAUCUACAUAAUUCUCCUCUGAUAUUUUGUUUUCUCUCUGAUUAUUCCCUUCUAUUUUCUGUUCUAACCUUUCAUUGGUGCUUUCAUUAAGCCUCUUCCUCCCAUGGCAGACUCUCAUGACAUCUUUUCUUCCCUCAACAAAAAGCUGGAGCAAAUUCUUCUCUCCUAGGCCAAUUUCUCAAACACAUUACAUGACAUAGCUGCUCGCACCUCUUUUUUGGAAUCCAAACUCCCUGUAUCCCCUCCCCAUAACCAAAACACCUCUGCUCGCCCUCUUAAGUU